GAAAAACCUGCCAAAGACAAGGCCUAAUUACUAUCUACAACAACCAGCACUCCUUCAUCUUGGAAGGACGUCCAUCGAUUCACACGUCCACCUAAUUUAAAAAAAAAUUAAAUUCCUGACCAUCCAGUCAUUGCUGAGGUGUGUGAUUCCUUCUUUUCUCCAUGUGGUGCCAUCUGAUCUGUAAAAUACAAUAGAAAGAUGUCAAGUCAUUCAUUAAUCUAAUACCAUUCUUUGGAAGUUUCAUCUACCAUUGUCUCCAGUCUGAUUCUGUUCUAACUAAUAUUUCGCAGCUAUAAGUAAAUACUCUACUAGAUGACAAUCUAUGAACUUAUAAUAAAUAAAUGUGUUACAAUAAUUAGUAAAGCUGU
This 368-nucleotide long non-coding RNA is filed under the name Danio rerio (zebrafish). Its description in RNAcentral is "lncRNA si:dkey-193d10.10 (ENSDARG00000097623.2)". The record is from RNAcentral. Lineage: Eukaryota; Metazoa; Chordata; Actinopteri; Cypriniformes; Danionidae.